This is a long non-coding RNA of Carcharodon carcharias (great white shark), 658 nucleotides long. RefSeq lists it as uncharacterized. The record is from RefSeq and is a predicted model, not a curated record. NCBI's taxonomy places the organism in Eukaryota, Metazoa, Chordata, Chondrichthyes, Lamniformes, Lamnidae. The transcript has 3 exons.
CUGAAGUGCAAGCUGUAGAGACUGUGAGAAUGUGCUUCACCAUUCCAGUUCAGUAAGUGCUAUACAGUGAAUGCAUCAAUCCCGCUGGACAACUGCUGUUUACUAGACAGAGCACCGUUCAGGAUUCGGUGUAUUCUCUACACACGUGCUCAGAACAGAGAGUGAUCCUUCUGGAUAGGCUGCCUUGCUGUUUGAAGGAGGGAGACUUCUAUUUGCACUAUCAAAUACCAGUUGUUAAUCCAGGCCCUGCUUCCAUGAUUACCUCACAGCUCAGACUGCUGCUUCAAAACCAGCCAGAAAGAACAUCAGUAGCUCCGAGCUGGCCACCAUCACACUAAUCCAUGAAGCCUGUUUGAAUUUAAACAUCGCUGAUUAUCGCCAGUCAGACAGUCUAAGUACAGAAAGCCAAUCAUGUUGCAGCAUCAUUCGUUUCACGGAUCUUCGUGUUGCAGUCUCCAACCAGGAAUCAUCUGGACUGAACUCCACCAUGAAGGAAGCACCAUGUGGACUUUGACUUCUCAGACUCUUGAAAUCACAUGAACUAACAUUCAUUUCUGUGGUUUGUACUGUUGUUGCCCAUGAUUGUGAAUCUUCCUCUUAUCUAUCCCUCCUUACUCUCUCUCUCUCUCUCUCUCUCUAUAUGUGUGUGUAUAUGUGU